Molecule: long non-coding RNA, 559 nt
Organism: Maylandia zebra (zebra mbuna)
Lineage: Eukaryota; Metazoa; Chordata; Actinopteri; Cichliformes; Cichlidae
Source: RefSeq, a predicted model, not a curated record
AAACGGUGAACAGCGGAUCUGCCAUACAGCCACAACUAUGAACUCAGUCACUGCCUUCAUUGCCUGCCUGCUUAUCCUAGGUGCACAAGGACAACCAGCCAGCAAAUCUAAUAAAUGCAAGUGUUACAGUUACAUUGGCAGGAUCAGCCCAAAGCUCAUCAAGGCUGAGCCAGUGAUACACUACCCAAGUAUCUUCUGUCCACAUACAGAAAUCAUUGUUACCACAAAAGCAGAUAUGAAGAGGUGUGUGAGUCCAGAGUCCCCACUUGGACGACACAUUCUAAAAAAUCGUACUUACUAAAACUUACUAAAAAAAGCAAGGGAGGAAUGGAGCUGUAAAGAUCACGACUGCUGGUCAGAGUACUGCUGCGAUUUAAACAAUACACUGCACAACCUACAAGCUGCACUCGUGACACAUGGUUGUUGAACUAGAAGAACUCACAGCAAAUACAAGACAGCCAAUAUUCUUUUUGGUUACUUUGCCAGUUUUGUUCCCAUGUGUGUGUAUGUCUAUAUAGUCUGGACUUGAACUUUUUUUACAUUUUUGUACAUAUGUUUU